UAGUCAGACAUGUCUAGUAUAGCACUAUACUGUGAAACUGCGAAUGGCUCAUUAAAUCAGUUAUCGUUUAUUUGAUAGUACCUUACUACUUGGAUAACCGUGGUAAUUCUAGAGCUAAUACAUGCUAAAAACCUCGACUUCGGAAGGGGUGUAUUUAUUAGAUAAAAAACCAAUGCCCUUCGGGGCUCCUUGGUGAUUCAUAAUAACUUAUCGAAUCGCAUGGCCUUGUGCCGGCGAUGGUUCAUUCAAAUUUCUGCCCUAUCAACUUUCGAUGGUAGGAUAGUGGCCUACCAUGGUUUCAACGGGUAACGGGGAAUUAGGGUUCUAUUCCGGAGAGGGAGCCUGAGACACGGCUACCACAUCCAAGGAAGGCAGCAGGCGCGCAAAUUACCCAAUCCCGACGCGGGGAGGUAGUGACAAUAAAUACUGAUACAGGACUCUUUUGGGUCUUGUAAUUGGAAUGAGUACAAUUUAAAUCCCUUAACGAGGAACAAUUGGAGGGCAAGUCUGGUGCCAGCAGCCGCGGUAAUUCCAGCUCCAAUAGCGUAUAUUAAAGUUGUUGCAGUUAAAAAGCUCGUAGUUGAACCUUGGGCCUGGCUGGCCGGUCCGCCUCACCGCGUGCACUGGUCCGGCCGGGCCUUUCCUUCUGGGGAGCCGCAUGCCCUUCACUGGGUGUGUCGGGGAACCAGGACUUUUACUUUGAAAAAAUUAGAGUGUUCAAAGCAGGCCUAUGCUCGAAUACAUUAGCAUGGAAUAAUAGAAUAGGACGUGUGGUUCUAUUUUGUUGGUUUCUAGGACCGCCGUAAUGAUUAAUAGGGAUAGUCGGGGGCAUCAGUAUUCAAUUGUCAGAGGUGAAAUUCUUGGAUUUAUUGAAGACUAACUACUGCGAAAGCAUUUGCCAAGGAUGUUUUCAUUAAUCAGUGAACGAAAGUUAGGGGAUCGAAGACGAUCAGAUACCGUCGUAGUCUUAACCAUAAACUAUGCCGACUAGGGAUCGGGCGAUGUAUUUUUUUGACUCGCUCGGCACCUUACGAGGAAAUCAAAGUCUUUGGGUUCUGAG
This 1060-nucleotide ribosomal RNA is filed under the name Scytalidium auricola (nom. inval.). Its description in RNAcentral is "SSU rRNA". It matches the Rfam family "Eukaryotic small subunit ribosomal RNA", at positions 46 to 1116 of the family's 1831-position model. The record is from RNAcentral. Lineage: Eukaryota; Fungi; Ascomycota; Leotiomycetes.